AGUGAACGCUGGCGGUAGGCCUAACACAUGCAAGUCGAACGGCAGCACAGUAAGAGCUUGCUCUUACGGGUGGCGAGUGGCGGACGGGUGAGGAAUACAUCGGAAUCUACUUUUUCGUGGGGGAUAACGUAGGGAAACUUACGCUAAUACCGCAUACGACCUACGGGUGAAAGCAGGGGAUCUUCGGACCUUUCGCGAUUGAAUGAGCCGAUGUCGGAUUAGCUAGUUGGCGGGGUAAAGGCCCACCAAGGCGACGAUCCGUAGCUGGUCUGAGAGGAUGAUCAGCCAAACUGGAACUGAGACACGGUCCAGACUCCUACGGGAGGCAGCAGUGGGGAAUAUUGGACAAUGGGCGCAAGCCUGAUCCAGCCAUACCGCGUGGGUGAAGAAGGCCUUCGGGUUGUAAAGCCCUUUUGUUGGGAAAGAAAAGCAGCAGGUUAAUACCCCGCUGUUCUGACGGUACCCAAAGAAUAAGCACCGGCUAACUUCGUG
This 492-nucleotide ribosomal RNA is filed under the name uncultured bacterium. RNAcentral's name for it is "partial 16S ribosomal RNA". It matches the Rfam family "Bacterial small subunit ribosomal RNA", at positions 29 to 507 of the family's 1533-position model. The record is from RNAcentral.